Molecule: ribosomal RNA, 402 nt
Filed under: Triticum aestivum (bread wheat)
Lineage: Eukaryota; Viridiplantae; Streptophyta; Magnoliopsida; Poales; Poaceae
Description: partial small subunit ribosomal RNA
Source: RNAcentral
AUGUUAACGAAUUGGUCGAUUACGAAAACUAGACUUUCUCAAUUUAGAGACUUAAGAGCAGAAGAAAAAAUGGGAAAAUUCCACCAUCUCCCAAAAAGAGAUGUGGCAAUCUUGAAGAGAAAAUUAUCUACCUUGCAAAGGUAUCUCGGCGGGAUCAAAUAUAUGACGAGAUUGCCAGACAUUGUGAUCGUCCUUGAUCAGCAAAAAGAGUAUAUAGCUCUUCGGGAAUGUGCCAUUUUGGGGAUUCCUACUAUUUCUUUAGUCGAUACAAAUUGUGACCCGGAUCUCGCGAAUAUAUCGAUUCCAGCCAACGAUGACACUAUGACUUCAAUUCGAUUGAUUCUUAACAAAUUAGUAUUUUCAAUUUGUGAGGGCCGUUCUCUCUAUAUAAGUAAUCGUUGA